Long non-coding RNA from Quercus lobata, 1700 nucleotides. RefSeq lists it as uncharacterized. NCBI's taxonomy places the organism in Eukaryota, Viridiplantae, Streptophyta, Magnoliopsida, Fagales, Fagaceae. The record is from RefSeq and is a predicted model, not a curated record. The transcript has 4 exons.
AGAAAAAGAAGAAAGACCUAAAUAAUCUCUUCUCUACCCAAGGGUGAGAGAGUCAAGAGGGUUUUCAUUUUGAUAAAAGAGAGUGUUUUAGUUAGAGCAUGCACAUCCCGUUUUCACACCGAUGAGGAACACGUGGCUAAUAAAAUAUCGGAAGGUCCAAAUCAAACCAACUCAAAAUAUAAUUUCUCUCUCUUUACCAAACUCAAACCCAAACCCUACAGCAGCCUCCCUGCCAAACCCACCACAUCUCUACCUCAAAUCCAUCUGAGUGAGCAAUGGACCCGGCCCACCCGAAAAACCGACCGAACUGAGAGGUUAUGGACGGGUCUGAGGAUAUUCGAGUCGGAUUUCGGGUCUUAUUUUCGGGUUAGGGUCGAUAUCGGGUCGGGCUAAGGGUCAUAUAAAAACAGUAGUCUGAACCCCAUUUUUUCUUUGGAAAAAAGCCCUACUCUCUGUUUCUCUCCGCCUCCCUCAAGCCUCAGCUACCUCCCUCAGCUCUCCGUCUCUGUGUUUUUAACUAAAGAGCUGCGCUCCUCUGCCUCUCUCACUGAGUUCUCUCUACGUGUGUAACAGUAAUCGAAGAACAAGGACCAAUGAACUGUGGUGAUCAAUCAGCUUGUUGUUGAUUUGGAAAAGGACCUUCCAUAGAAGCAAAGGUUUCUCGUUAUCUGACCUUGAAGUAGAAACACAGGACGAGGAUGAGGUAGCAUACAUAUAUGUGAAAUUCAAUUAGAUAGAAUGCUAACAGCAUGUUUGGAGUGACAUUGAUUUCGUUCUCUGGCUCUAUAUUAUUAAAUUAUUUUGUUUUGGGGAUAGUCUUGUGUACUGUCCUUUUUAUGCAGGGAAUUCUUAGUCUUUGUUAUAGGAGAUUGUGGGAUUAAGAUUUUCUUGAAACCUUUCCUACCUGGUAUUAAGAUUAUGUCCUCUUGGCAGCAUUUUUGUGUCUGAAGCUCUAGGCUUUUUCCCUUUAGAUGGAAUAUGGUCCCAUUCUUGGACAGGAGGCAUGUGAGGGAAAAAGAGGGGAGGGAACAUACCAUUUCAUCAUGGCAACUUAAAUGUGUCAUUUGGUUUUUUAUCUCAACAAAUCUUCCCUAUCUUUUCCCCCUUAAGCAAAAGGAAUGACAUAAAAGUGUUUAGUAUUUGGAAGUUUUCUCCUUAUUUAUCGCUUGAUUUAAUAUGGUCAUGGAAUUUUAAAUACUUGAUAUUUACAGGUGUAUAUAGACAUGGCAAUACGAGUCAGAAUUUUCUAAUCCAAUCCAAACCCGAUUUUUUUUUUACCUGAAGCAAAAAUAGGUUGACCCAUGACCCAACCCGACCCGGAUAACUCAUGACCCGAAUCGUUAAAAAAAUUCGCUAAAAAAAUAUUUUAAUUACGUUCUAAUACUAGAUGCAUAAAGCACAAAGUACCAAAAUUAAUAAUUAAUAUAUUAGAGAAAAUGACUAUUUAAUUCAUCAAAAGUACCACCAAGCAAGCAAAAAAAAAAAAAAAAAAAAUCAUCAUCAAAAUUUCCAAUAAGAGCUAGGUAGCCUAGCUUCUGUGCUUGCCAAUUGCCUACAACACAUUAGUGACGUUACACAAAACAAAGGCCAAGGUUGUCAAAUUACCUUGAGUCUUGAGUCCUCUGACUUAGAGAUUUUUGGUUUAAACAUCUUUCCCUUCCUUUUAGUGAUGCUAGGUUCCGUUUCUUUUUUUUUUUUUU